Molecule: long non-coding RNA, 624 nt
Filed under: Oncorhynchus kisutch (coho salmon)
Lineage: Eukaryota; Metazoa; Chordata; Actinopteri; Salmoniformes; Salmonidae
Description: lncRNA (ENSOKIG00005028451.1)
Source: RNAcentral
AACUGCGUAACCCACUCCAGUCAGUAGAUGGCGAUGAGCGUCUUUCAGGUGAUGCUUCUUGCGUGACGUAUAAUGGACUGGACGGGACGCUUCUUCAGGAACAACAACACGGAUACUAUUUCAACCAUCUCGGAAGAGGAUGUCUGCUGUACGAAGAAAGAAGCUCUAGAGAUGAACAUUGUCGUGAAAGAAGAAGAAGAGGUGGAUAUUACAGUGAAAGAAGAGAAUGAACCUUUUAGAGAAGAAGAGGAUGCUAUCUCAAUAAAGGUGAAGGAGGAAGACGUUUUGGGAGUGAAAGAGGAGACAGAAUAUCAGAUUAACACCAGAGAGAGACAUGACUAUUAUGGAUCCUCUGGGGAGCCUCAACAACAUCCUGAUGCUGAUGAGACAGAGAAGAGUCUCUCCAGAUCAGAACACCAGAUGGACAACGCUAGCCCUUCCGCACUCCCGGAGUCCCGGUGUCGUGCCUCUCCCGGUAGCAACUUACUGCUGGGUAUGAAGAGGUUGUCUGUGCAGCUGGUGGACUGCAGGAAAACAACGGGGCUGAGUGGAACUGUGAGAGGAGGAGAAGAGAAGAAAGGAUCAGAUUUGACACAUCAAAGUAAGUGCUGUAGUUUAGUUUGA